GUAGCCCCACCCCGCACCCUAAUGAUUACAGACAGUUGCGCGUUAAUAUGUCACUAAUAGUAGAAGCAGCGGGUGAGAAACUGGUUCGGAUUGUAUUGCGUCCGGGUUGUUUUAAGAAGCGUAUAAAUAGACGCUCGGAGAGACGGAAGAGGGAGCUACCGAGUUACGGAGUCAGGGCGUCAUUUAACCAGAGGAGAUACGACGAUGUAGAAAGAUAUACGAAAACGGAGAUGACGGGACCUAGGCACGGUCACCCACCUAGGUUGCCGUAUGUAUAUAUUUUGUAUGUGUUCGAGUUUACUAAUAAUGUCCUAGUUCAACAACGAAUCAGCGACUACGUCAUCUAGCUCUACGUCAUCUAGCUCUACCUGACUACGCUGCUACUCUAUUUGCUACAAUCGGCUACGCUGCUACAAUCUGCUAUUUGCUACAAUCUACGGUUGCUACAAGUCUAAGCUGUCGACGCUACAGAACCCUACACGGAGAUCUUCAACUAUUCGCAUUACAAUACGUAUUUGUAAAAGCCGGGUUUCCUUUGUAUGCGAAUCUGAUCAAGUCAGGCUCUGCUAGUGCUGUAACAAAGUUCUUUUUACUUGUAUUGGACGAAUGGAGUUCUGUAAUGUACCAAUACAACGAUUGCCGUGAAGUAAUCCCUAGGGUAUCGUGUUCCAGAAGUUGGUAAAUCAGCCCUAUGACGAGGCAAUUGAACUGUCCGAUGAAGAGGAUAUUGUAACCACAGCACUUCAAAAUAUAGAAUCUUCUGUCUCGUGUGGGCAAUAAGGCAACAAGUAAGG
Molecule: long non-coding RNA, 794 nt
Organism: Priapulus caudatus
Lineage: Eukaryota; Metazoa; Priapulida; Priapulimorpha; Priapulimorphida; Priapulidae
Exons: 3
Source: RefSeq, a predicted model, not a curated record